CUUUGACUUAGGGGAAGAAAAUGCGUCUCUUACUAACCAAAGAAGGGAAGUGAAAGAAGGAAAUCCCCAAAUCUGUUUUAAGGCACUGUCGAACCCCUAGCCCCAAAUCAAGAAUAUCAAAUACCCGACCACAAUUGAUCGCUCGCUGAGCCAAACCUAAGAGUGAAGAGGUAGCACCCAUUUCGUUUAAUUACAUUGAUGACGGAGCCAUUGGUGUGUAGAUGGAAGGAAAACAUGAAGGUAAAUCCCAAAUUGAUAUUUAUUUAUUUUUGGUAGGUAGAGGUGAUAGAGCUGCUAAAGAUUAUGUAGAUAAAUAUAAUUUUCCAUUAUCUAAAGUUUUUGUAGUUGAUUGCAUGAGUAUUUUCUUAUUCUCCAUUUUACCAAAUAUGUAUUGGUAAUGGCCACGGUCUGUCGAUCCCCUUAUUUUCUGUUCUUUAUGUCCUGAAUCGUAUGUUUUGUUUUAGUUCAUUACAUACCAUUGUCCUGUUCACCUUGGCUACACUCUGUUGUUCCAUUUUGUAAUCUGAUUAUCUGUAUUGUCUUCCACUGUUAUUUUCGAGUUUAGGCAAAAUUCAUUAAAUGAAGUCCUUGCCAAUGUAGUAAAGUGAUAAUAUCGACUAAAGUGUUAAAACAUAUAUGCACUACACAAUGUUGAAUCUUCAUCCUCAUAUAUUAGCUCAAUGUUGGUGUAAAGUCUGAUCAUUUGCAUGUAAUAUUGUUUAAUGUGGGUAACUAUAUCCUAGAUUGUGAAGAAGAUACGGAAUUCAUAGUUUCCGACCACGACUUUGAGUCCAAACAAGAUGACAUUGAAUAUGAUAGACAUGUAACUGAUGCGAUGGAAAUUGGAAUGGACAAUCGCUAAGAUGAAGUUCAGGUCUAACGAGAAGAGGGCAGUGAUAAUGAGUUGAAUGAAUUGGAACUACCAUCAUCAAGGGAACUACUGUCCCAAUGUUUAUCCGAUGAGGAUGGCAGCUGUCAUUUUCCUGAAUUCUCUAUUGAUCAAGAUAUGAAAAAUCCACAAUUGAGGUAGGGUAAAUAUCCGAUUCUGUUGCGGAGUUUCGUGAAGCGAUGCGAACAUACAGUGCAUUUAACGGGUACAACUUAAAGUUUAAGGCAAAUGAGGAAAGAUGAGUUCAAGGAAUUUGGAAAUUGGGCUACAAAUGGAGAAUAUGAGCUUCUAAAUUUGAUGUGUCCGAUAGGUUGCAAGUCAAAUCUUACACUUUGGAGCAUACUUUGUAGUUGAGAUUAGUUUAAUAGACAUUGCAAUUACAUAUUUUUGACACAUUGGUAUAUUGAGCAAUUUAAGACAAACCCGAAUUGGAAGAUCGAGCUUAUUUUGGCAACAGUGAAGAAGGAUCACCAAAUAGACAUUAGCAAGAAACGUAGCAUGAAAAAUGCGGAGAUACGCCAAAGAAGUUUUAGUAGAAAAUUUGCACGAACUGUUUAGGCAAUUGCAGUCUUAUGCAGCCGAGGUACUAAGUAUAAAUGUUGGCUCGACAGUCAUAAUUGCAUUACAGGAGCAUAUAUUUCAGGAGAUCUACACAUGCUUCAAUUGUUGUAAGAUAGGAUUGAGGGAUGGUUGUAGGAAGGUGUUAUGUAUUGAAGGUUGCCACUAAGGGGUGGUUUCACAAGGAUAAUGUUAACUGAAUUGGGGUUGAUGCUAAUGAUUGCAUCUAUCCCAUUGCAACUGCAGUUGUUUAGAAAGAAAAUACAGUUGCUUGGCGAUGGUUCUUAGCCUAUCUUUCAUAUGAUAUUAGGAUAGGAAAUUGGAGAGGUUGGACUCUUAUGACCGACAGGCAGAAGGGUCUACAAAAUGUCAUGGAUGAGUUGUCCCCUGAGGCUGAGCACAGGUUCUGUGUAAGGCAUAUGUAUACAAUUUUUUUCCGUCUAGGUUCAAGAGUAAAAUUCUGAAGAAUUACUUGUUGCGUGCUACAAAGUCAACCACCAUUGCUGACUACUGAAAUUGGAUGAAACAAAUUCGAUAACUUAGUGAGGAGGCAAACAAAUGGCUUAUGGAGAGCUAUUUACAAGAGUGGAGUAGAUCACAUUUCUCAGUUCAAUUGAAGAGUGACAUUUUCCUAAACAAUUUAUGCGAAGAUUUCAACAAGACUCUGUGGAUUGAUAGAGAAAAGAUGAUUUUGUUGAUGCUAACUUCACAACAUUUAACCUUCAUGAAUAGGAUUCGAAGGCAUCGAGACAUGAUGAGGUGCACGAACAAUUGUGUCCAAAGAUCAGGAAAAAAAUUACACAAAAUAGCAGAAAAAUUGCAUGAAUGCACAUUGCACAUUUUUGGUUAUCCAAAAUGACAAGUUGACUGCAGCUAUGGGACGUAUGUCGUCGACCUACAAGAAAGAACAUUUGCAUGUAGAGAAUGGAAGCUUACAUGCAUAUAUUGGAUCAUGCAAUGGCAGUAAUUGGGGAAUACAAAAAUGAUCCAAAAGAAUUCAUUGACAAUUGUUACACGAUUGAUAUGUAUAUAAGGUGCUACAAUAGUACCAUGAAUCCAAUUAAUGGUAACGGUAUGCGGUUAUAGGCAUGGUUGCAUAUGCUUGAUAUCAUUCUAUCAUCGUCGAUUGUGCCACGAACGGGACAGAGACGGAUAAAUUGGAGAAAAGGAACAGAUGAAGAUGUGAUCGUGCAUUCACAAGAGAUAACCUUAUUCGGAGAAAGGGACGAUUGAGAGUGACAUGCUCCUUAUGCGAAGAGCAGGGUCACAACAAGCAAUACCACUCUAGGCCAGAUACACCUGAUUUUGUGAGUUUGAUUUUACUUUUUAUAAAGUAUAAUUGUCUUCACAAUUUUACUAAAAUUUGAUUGUCCUGCAAAAUGCGAUGAAGCUGAAAUAAAUGUAUUCUGAUGGUUUAUUUUUUGUAUGGUAGGAUUUAUUUGAAGAACAUCUAGAAUCAGUUAGCACACACUGUGACACACACAUUUUGACAUAGCUGUCGACUAAUGGGUUAGUAAACUUCUCUUUUUAUUAUUUUAAGUCGUGCUCCUGAUAUUUGUUGCAUAAUGUUAGCUAUCUAAUUGUGUAAUGUACGCAGUAUAUAGAGCAG
Molecule: long non-coding RNA, 3056 nt
Filed under: Olea europaea subsp. europaea
Lineage: Eukaryota; Viridiplantae; Streptophyta; Magnoliopsida; Lamiales; Oleaceae
Source: RNAcentral